UCAUGUACCCAUGGGUUUAUUGGCUUACAUGUUACCAAUUUUUCUCCAAUCAAGCCAAUCUUUGCUGCCACAAGACAUUCCUCUAAGUCACUAACUCAUUUUCAAAGACUACUCAAGCCAAAAACAAGAAUUCUUACUGUUUUUUACUUGAAUCACCAAAACCAAGCUUUUUCUUUCUUCUCCUCCUAGGGUUUAGAUGUGCUAGAAAUUGGGGUUAAAGGUUGUAAAUUUAGUGCUCAAGAAGUUUGGAGAAGAAAGGAAAAGAAAACAUGGAAAGGAAAAUGAAGAAAACUUGGUUUCAUGGUGGACAAAGAGAAAAUGGCAUGGAAGCUUCAAGAAUGGUGUGG
This 347-nucleotide long non-coding RNA is filed under the name Theobroma cacao (cacao). RNAcentral describes it as "long non-coding RNA (TCAC_LNC001839)". The record is from RNAcentral. Lineage: Eukaryota; Viridiplantae; Streptophyta; Magnoliopsida; Malvales; Malvaceae.